Molecule: ribosomal RNA, 469 nt
Filed under: uncultured bacterium
Lineage: Bacteria
Description: partial 16S ribosomal RNA
Rfam family: Bacterial small subunit ribosomal RNA
Source: RNAcentral
GACGAACGCUGGCGGCGUGCUUAACACAUGCAAGUCGAACGGAAAGGCCCUGCUUGCAGGGUGCUCGAGUGGCGAACGGGUGAGUAACACGUGGGUGAUCUGCCCCUUACUUUGGGAUAAGCCUGUUAAACUGGGUCUAAUACUGGAUAGGACCAUGCUUUAGGUGGUGUGGUGGAAAGAUUAGUUUCGGUAAGGGAUGAGCUCGCGGCCUAUCAGCUUGUUGGUGGGGUAAUGGCCUACCAAGGCGUCGACGGGUAGCCGGCCUGAGAGGGUGGACGGCCAGAUUGGGACUGAGAUGCGGGCCAGAAUCCUACGGGAGGCAGCAGUGGGGAAUAUUGCACAAUGGGCGCAAGCCUGAUGCAGCGACGGCGCGUGGGGGAUGACGGCCUUCGGGUUGUAAACACCUUUCAGCCAUGACGAAGCCCUUGUGGUGACGGUAGUGGUAGAAGAAGCACCGGCUAACUACGUG